ACAUCCUAGAGUUGUUGGUCGGA
This 23-nucleotide non-coding RNA is filed under the name Arabidopsis thaliana (thale cress). Lineage: Eukaryota; Viridiplantae; Streptophyta; Magnoliopsida; Brassicales; Brassicaceae. The record is from RNAcentral.